Molecule: ribosomal RNA, 497 nt
Filed under: uncultured bacterium
Lineage: Bacteria
Description: partial 16S ribosomal RNA
Rfam family: Bacterial small subunit ribosomal RNA
Source: RNAcentral
GAUGAACGCUGGCGGCGUGCCUAAUACAUGCAAGUCGAGCGAACAGACGAGGAGCUUGCUCCUCUGACGUUAGCGGCGGACGGGUGAGUAACACGUGGAUAACCUACCUAUAAGACUGGGAUAACUUCGGGAAACCGGAGCUAAUACCGGAUAAUAUAUUGAACCGCAUGGCUCAAUAGUGAAAGACGGUUUUGCUGUCACUUAUAGAUGGAUCCGCGCCGCAUUAGCUAGUUGGUAAGGUAACGGCUUACCAAGGCAACGAUGCGUAGCCGACCUGAGAGGGUGAUCGGCCACACUGGAACUGAGACACGUUCCAGACUCCUACGGGAGGCAGCAGUAGGGAAUCUUCCGCAAUGGGCGAAAGCCUGACGGAGCAACGCCGCGUGAGUGAUGAAGGUCUUCGGAUCGUAAAACUCUGUUAUUAGGGAAGAACAAAUGUGUAAGUAACUAUGCACGUCUUGACGGUACCUACUCAGAAAGCCACGGCUAACUACGUG